CUAUAAAUGGAGCAGCUUCAAUCUCUAUCAGUAUCAGUCAACGCACUCCAAUCAAACCCAGAACAACUCAAUCAACAUGAAAUUCCUCAUCUACUUCGUCGCUCUGCUCUUUGCCGUGGCCCAGGCUCAAAAUACGGUUUCCUUCGCUAGAACCAGACCGUAUGUGCAUGAACCUCAAAAUAUCACCUUUUCCUCUGCUCCCACUGUAGACUCCACGGUCCAGAAGAAUUAAAUCGAUCAACACAAUGUCCACAAAAUGAUAUGCAAAAUGUAGAUAUAUAUGUCAAAAUAAAUUGAGCUGAAGUUAAAAUUGA
Long non-coding RNA from Drosophila innubila, 314 nucleotides. RefSeq lists it as uncharacterized. The record is from RefSeq and is a predicted model, not a curated record. The transcript is spliced from 2 exons. Lineage: Eukaryota; Metazoa; Arthropoda; Insecta; Diptera; Drosophilidae.